This 599-nucleotide ribosomal RNA is filed under the name Fusarium subglutinans. Its description in RNAcentral is "eukaryotic LSU rRNA". It matches the Rfam family "Eukaryotic large subunit ribosomal RNA", at positions 1 to 609 of the family's 3401-position model. Lineage: Eukaryota; Fungi; Ascomycota; Sordariomycetes; Hypocreales; Nectriaceae. The record is from RNAcentral.
UUGACCUCGGAUCAGGUAGGAAUACCCGCUGAACUUAAGCAUAUCAAUAAGCGGAGGAAAAGAAACCAACAGGGAUUGCCCUAGUAACGGCGAGUGAAGCGGCAACAGCUCAAAUUUGAAAUCUGGCUCUCGGGCCCGAGUUGUAAUUUGUAGAGGAUACUUUUGAUGCGGUGCCUUCCGAGUUCCCUGGAACGGGACGCCAUAGAGGGUGAGAGCCCCGUCUGGUUGGAUGCCAAAUCUCUGUAAAGUUCCUUCGACGAGUCGAGUAGUUUGGGAAUGCUGCUCUAAAUGGGAGGUAUAUGUCUUCUAAAGCUAAAUACCGGCCAGAGACCGAUAGCGCACAAGUAGAGUGAUCGAAAGAUGAAAAGCACUUUGAAAAGAGAGUUAAAAAGUACGUGAAAUUGUUGAAAGGGAAGCGUUUAUGACCAGACUUGGGCUUGGUUAAUCAUCUGGGGUUCUCCCCAGUGCACUUUUCCAGUCCAGGCCAGCAUCAGUUUUCCCCGGGGGAUAAAGACUUCGGGAAUGUGGCUCUCUUCGGGGAGUGUUAUAGCCCGUUGUGUAAUACCCUGGGGGGGAACUGAGGUUCGCGCAUCUGCAAG